This is a non-coding RNA of Podarcis muralis (Common wall lizard), 74 nucleotides long. The record is from the annotation of a RefSeq genome assembly. Lineage: Eukaryota; Metazoa; Chordata; Lepidosauria; Squamata; Lacertidae.
GCCUGGAUAGCUCAGUUGGUUAGAGUGUGGCGCUGGUAACGCCAAGGUUGCAGGUUCGAGCCCUGUAUAAGACA